Molecule: transfer RNA, 68 nt
Filed under: Camelus bactrianus (Bactrian camel)
Lineage: Eukaryota; Metazoa; Chordata; Mammalia; Artiodactyla; Camelidae
Also listed under: 2 other names
Rfam family: tRNA
About the family: Transfer RNA (tRNA) molecules are approximately 80 nucleotides in length. Their secondary structure includes four short double-helical elements and three loops (D, anti-codon, and T loops).
Source: Rfam by way of RNAcentral
GGGGGAGCUCAGUGGUAGAGGGCAUGCCUAGCAUGCAUGAGGUCCUGGGUUCAAUCCCAGUACUUCCA